AUGCGUAAACCUAAGUGUGCAUUUGUAGGCGGUGUCGAAAUGGGUCUAUAGCUCUGCCUGAACUGUCGUCCAAUUGGUUUACAAGUCCGGCUGAAGUGACAGGCCAUCAAAAACUGUACAGUGUGACUGAUUCGGAGACAGCCCUCAACACUCGCCCAGUCGUGUCGAGAGGAUCGGUGUCUUUGCAGAUUACACGGAAUUGAGCACCCGGGCCAGACUGACACUUUCCGGAGCCUGCCCGAGACGGAACUCGAGCCGAGGAAUCAUAGGUCCAGGCGGUGUCGAAAUGGGUCUAUAGCUCUGCCUGAACUGUCGUCCAAUUGGUUUACAAGUCCGGCUGAAGUGACAGGCCAUCAAAAACUGUACAGUGUGACUGAUUCGGAGACGGCCCUCAACACUCGCCCAGUCGUGUCGAGAGGAUCGGUGUCUUUGCAGAUUACACGGAAUUGAGCACCCGGGCCAGACUGACACUUUCCGGAGCCUGCCCGAGACGGAACUCGAGCCGAGGAAUCAUAGGUCCAGGCGGUGUCGAAAUGGGUCUAUAGCUCUGCCUGAACUGUCGUAUAAUUGGUUUACAAGUCCGGCUGAAGUGACAGGCCAUCAAAAACUGUACAGUGUGACUGAUUCGGAGACGGCCCUCAACACUCGCCCAGUCGUGUCGAGAGGAUCGGUGUCUUUGCAGAUUACACGGAAUUGAGCACCCGGGCCAGACUGACACUUUCCGGAGCCUGCCCGAGACGGAACUCGAGCCGAGGAAUCAUAGGUCCAGGCGGUGUCGAAAUGGGUCUAUAGCUCUGCCUGAACUGUCGUCCAAUUGGUUUACAAGUCCGGCUGAAGUGACAGGCCAUCAAAAACUGUACAGUGUGACUGAUUCGGAGACGGCCCUCAACACUCGCCCAGUCGUGUCGAGAGGAUCGGUGUCUUUGCAGAUUACACGGAAUUGAGCACCCGGGCCAGACUGACACUUUCCGGAGCCUGCACGAGACGGAACUCGAGCCGAGGAAUCAUAGGUCCAGGUGUGACAAAAGACUUAAAGCUCAUGUCUGACGAUGACUUUUUUUAGUCAGGAAGUCAAGUGUGUUGUUUUUCCAUGCAAGCGAGCCCUUUUGUUGGGUCAAAUGACAUCAGAAUUGCUGCUUCUACAUGGAUUUUACCUAAAAUGUGCAAAAAAAAUAAAAAAAGUUUGUUCGAA
Molecule: long non-coding RNA, 1192 nt
Organism: Dreissena polymorpha
Lineage: Eukaryota; Metazoa; Mollusca; Bivalvia; Myida; Dreissenidae
Exons: 8
Source: RefSeq, a predicted model, not a curated record